UGGGGAAUAUUGCACAAUGGGCGCAAGCCUGAUGCAGCCAUGCCGCGUGUGUGAAGAAGGCCUUCGGGUUGUAAAGCACUUUCAGCGAGGAGGAAGGUGGUGAACUUAAUACGUUCAUCAAUUGACGUUACUCGCAGAAGAAGCACCGGCUAACUCCGUGCCAGCAGCCGCGGUAAUACGGAGGGUGCAAGCGUUAAUCGGAAUUACUGGGCGUAAAGCGCACGCAGGCGGUUUGUUAAGUCAGAUGUGAAAUCCCCGGGCUCAACCUGGGAACUGCAUUUGAAACUGGCAAGCUAGAGUCUCGUAGAGGGGGGUAGAAUUCCAGGUGUAGCGGUGAAAUGCGUAGAGAUCUGGAGGAAUACCGGUGGCGAAGGCGGCCCCCUGGACGAAGACUGACGCUCAGGUGCGAAAGCGUGGGGAGCAAACAGAUUAGAUACCCUGGUAGUCCACGCUGUAAACGAUGUCGAUUUUGGAGGUUGUGCCCUUGAGGCGUGGCUUCCGGAGCUAACGCGUUAAAUCGACCGCCUGGGGAGUACGGCCGCAAGGUU
This 548-nucleotide ribosomal RNA is filed under the name uncultured bacterium. RNAcentral describes it as "partial 16S ribosomal RNA". It matches the Rfam family "Bacterial small subunit ribosomal RNA", at positions 355 to 895 of the family's 1533-position model. The record is from RNAcentral.